GUCCCAUUAGGCUCAGUUGCUAGAGCAUGGCACCUGCAACGCCAGGGUUGUGGGUUCGAUUCCCACAGGGGACG
Non-coding RNA from Salmo salar (Atlantic salmon), 74 nucleotides. The record is from Rfam. NCBI's taxonomy places the organism in Eukaryota, Metazoa, Chordata, Actinopteri, Salmoniformes, Salmonidae.